This 443-nucleotide ribosomal RNA is filed under the name uncultured bacterium. RNAcentral's name for it is "bacterial SSU rRNA". It matches the Rfam family "Bacterial small subunit ribosomal RNA", at positions 52 to 507 of the family's 1533-position model. The record is from RNAcentral.
CACAUGCAAGUCGAACGGGGUUACGAGAGCUUGCUCUUGUAACUUAGUGGCGAACGGGUGAGUAACGCGUGAGAAACCUGCCUCUCAGUGGGGGACAACAGUUGGAAACGACUGCUAAUACCGCAUAACACUUUAGUACCGCAUGGUACAGAAGUCAAAGCUUUAUGUGCUGAGAGAUGGUCUCGCGUCUGAUUAGCUAGAUGGCGGGGUAACGGCCACCAUGGCGACGAUCAGUAGCCGGUCUGAGAGGAUGAACGGCCACAUUGGGACUGAGAUACGGCCCAGACUCCUACGGGAGGCAGCAGUGGGGAAUAUUGGGCAAUGGGGGAAACCCUGACCCAGCAACGCCGCGUGAAGGAAGAAGGCCUUCGGGUUGUAAACUUCUUUUACCAGGGACGAAGAACGUGACGGUACCUGGAGAAAAAGCAACGGCUAACUACGUG